Molecule: ribosomal RNA, 301 nt
Filed under: uncultured bacterium
Lineage: Bacteria
Description: partial 16S ribosomal RNA
Rfam family: Bacterial small subunit ribosomal RNA
Source: RNAcentral
CAGUCGCCGCGGUAAUACGUAGGUGGCAAGCGUUGUCCGGAAUUAUUGGGCGUAAAGGGCUCGCAGGCGGUUUCUUAAGUCUGAUGUGAAAGCCCCCGGCUCAACCGGGGAGGGUCGUUGGAAACUGGGAAACUUGAGUGCAGAAGAGGAGAGUGGAAUUCCACGUGUAGCGGUGAAAUGCGUAGAGAUGUGGAGGAACACCAGUGGCGAAGGCGACUCUCUGGUCUGUAACUGGCGCUGAGGAGCGAAAGCGUGGGGAGCGAACAGGAUUAGAUACCCCCGUAGUCCCUGUCUCUUAUAC